RNAcentral lists this ribosomal RNA (497 nucleotides) under uncultured bacterium. RNAcentral describes it as "partial 16S ribosomal RNA". It matches the Rfam family "Bacterial small subunit ribosomal RNA", at positions 28 to 507 of the family's 1533-position model. The record is from RNAcentral.
GAUGAACGCUGGCGGCGUGCCUAAUACAUGCAAGUCGAGCGAACAGACGAGGAGCUUGCUCCUCUGACGUUAGCGGCGGUCGGGUGAGUAACACGUGGAUAACCUACCUAUAAGACUGGGAUAACUUCGGGAAACCGGAGCUAAUACCGGAUAAUAUAUUGAACCGCAUGGUUCAAUAGUGAAAGACGGUUUUGCUGUCACUUAUAGAUGGAUCCGCGCCGCGUUAGCUAGUUGGUAAGGUAACGGCUUACCAAGGCAACGAUGCGUAGCCGACCUGAGAGGGUGAUCGGCCACACUGGAACUGAGACACGGUCCAGACUCCUACGGGAGGCAGCAGUAGGGAAUCUUCCGCAAUGGGCGAAAGCCUGACGGAGCAACGCCGCGUGAGUGAUGAAGGUCUUCGGAUCGUAAAACUCUGUUAUUAGGGAAGAACAAAUGUGUAAGUAACUAUGCACGUCUUGACGGUACCUAAUCAGAAAGCCACGGCUAACUACGUG